AUGCUUACUUUAUAGCAUAUAUACUAAAAUUGUAAUAUAUGGAGAAGAUUAGCAUGAACUGAUCUCUGCACAAGGAUAACAUGCAAAUUUGUGAAGCAUUUCAUAUUUUA
Molecule: small nuclear RNA, 110 nt
Organism: Sarcophilus harrisii (Tasmanian devil)
Lineage: Eukaryota; Metazoa; Chordata; Mammalia; Dasyuromorphia; Dasyuridae
Source: Ensembl